This 599-nucleotide ribosomal RNA is filed under the name Odontocolon punctulatum. Its description in RNAcentral is "eukaryotic LSU rRNA". It matches the Rfam family "Eukaryotic large subunit ribosomal RNA", at positions 420 to 773 of the family's 3401-position model. Lineage: Eukaryota; Metazoa; Arthropoda; Insecta; Hymenoptera; Ichneumonidae. The record is from RNAcentral.
CCUGAGAAACCCAAAAGAUCGAAUGGGGAGAUUCAUCGUCAGCGACUGUGGCAAGUGUGCGGUUCGCGAUAUUGCGAGACUCCGGUCUCGCGGUACGCGUCCGCAUGUUUUGAGUGUCAGGGUCGUCGGCGUGCACUUCUCCCCUAGUAGGACGUCGCGACCCGUUGGGUGUCGGUCUACGGCCCGGGUGGGCGCCUGUUCCUAAUACCCCGGUAUUAGGGACAGACCCCCGGUCGCCUGGCCGACUGCUCGGCGGUACUCGCACGGUAUCAGGCCGCAAUUUGAACUGCGUCUGGCCCGCCGCAAGCGAGAUCAGUGAUACUCGGAUGUACGGACCUAGUGCCGUCACCGAGCCUGAUCAGCUGUUGGUCGGCGGUGUCCUGAGACAGGCCUUUGAACGUAUGAUACCGGUCGGCGACGCUAUUGCUUUGGGUACUUUCAGGACCCGUCUUGAAACACGGACCAAGGAGUCUAACAUGUGCGCGAGUCAUUGGGAACUCUUAAGCCUAAAGGCGCAAUGAAAGUGAAGGUCGGCCUCGCGCCGACCGAGGGAGGAUGGACCGCGUUACGAUKCGGUCCCGCACUCCCGGGGCGCUCGU